GCCAGCCCGCUCAGAAACUUAAAGGAAUUGACUGGGGGCCCGCACAAGCGGUGGAGUAUGUGGUUUAAUUCGAUGCAACGCGAAGAACCUUACCUGGUCUUGACAUCCCGGAGACCCUUAGGAAACUAGGGGGUGCUUCCAUCUGGAAGAAUCUGGAGACAGGUGCUGCAUGGCUGUCGUCAGCUCGUGUCGUGAGAUGUUGGGUUAAGUCCCGCAACGAGCGCAACCCUUGCCUUUAGUUGCCAGCAGUUCGGCUGGGCACUCUAAAGGGACUGCCGGUGUUAAACCGGAGGAAGGUGGGGAUGACGUCAAGUCCUCAUGGCCUUUAUGACCAGGGCUACACACGUACUACAAUGGCCGAUACAAAGGGCAGCGACACUGCGAGGUGAAGCCAAUCCCGUAAAAUCGGUCUCAGUCCGGAUUGGAGUCUGCAACUCGACUCCAUGAAGUUGGAAUCGCUAGUAAUCGUGGAUCAGCAUGCCACGGUGAAUACGUUCCCGGGCCUU
RNAcentral lists this ribosomal RNA (506 nucleotides) under uncultured Desulfobulbus sp. RNAcentral describes it as "bacterial SSU rRNA". It matches the Rfam family "Bacterial small subunit ribosomal RNA", at positions 903 to 1382 of the family's 1533-position model. Lineage: Bacteria; Pseudomonadati; Thermodesulfobacteriota; Desulfobulbia; Desulfobulbales; Desulfobulbaceae. The record is from RNAcentral.